Molecule: ribosomal RNA, 459 nt
Filed under: uncultured Aminicenantes bacterium
Lineage: Bacteria; Candidatus Aminicenantota
Description: bacterial SSU rRNA
Rfam family: Bacterial small subunit ribosomal RNA
Source: RNAcentral
GCGGUGGAGCAUGUGGUUUAAUUCGACGCUACGCGAAGAACCUUACCUGGGCUUGAACUGCUGGUGGUAGAAGCCCGAAAGGGUAACGACCCGGAGCAAUCCGGGAGCCAGUAGAGGUGCUGCAUGGCUGUCGUCAGCUCGUGUCGUGAGAUGUUGGGUUAAGUCCCGCAACGAGCGCAACCUUACCCUUAGUUGCCAGCGGGUAAUGCCGGGCACUCUAAGGGGACCGCCCCGGAUAACGGGGAGGAAGGCGGGAUGACGUCAAGUCAGCAUGGCCUUUAUGUCCAGGGCUACACACGUGCUACAAUGGGCGAUACAGAGGGAAGCAAGGCCGCAAGGUAGAGCUAAUCCCUAAAGUCGUCCUCAGUUCGGAUUGCAGGCUGCAACUCGCCUGCAUGAAGUCGGAAUCGCUAGUAAUCGCGGAUCAGCUACGCCGCGGUGAAUACGUUCUCGGGCCUU